CUAGCGGCGUGCCUAAUGCAUGCAAGUCGAACGGGAACCUUUAGAUUCGUCUGAAUUGAGAGUGGCGAACGGGUGAGUAACACGUUGGUGACCUACCCCAGAGAGGGGGAUAACCAUUGGAAACGAUGGCUAAUACCCCGGAUGUCCCUACUGUAGAGAGUAGACUAAAGCUUGGCGCUCUGGGAGGGGCCUGCGGCCCAUCAGCUUGUUGGUAGAGUAAUGCCCUACCAAGGCAAAGACGGGUAGAAACGUGAGAGCGUGACUUAUCCACACUGGUACUGAUACACGGACCAGAUACCUACGGGUAGCAGCAGCAAGGAAUAUUGCCCAAUGGACGAAAGUCUGAGGCAGCAACGCCGCGUGGAGGAUGAAGGCCUUCGUUCGUAAACUCCUUUUCUGGGGGAAGAGAAAGGACGGUACCCCAGGAAUAAGAUAGCGGCUAACUACGUGCCAGCAGCCGCGGUAAAACGUAGGAGGCGAUAUUUAUCCGGAUUUACUGCAGUUGUAAAGCGCGUGCAGGCGGUUUCUUAAGUCGGACGUGAAAGCUCCUGGCUCAACUGGGGGAGGUCGUUCGAAACUACCGAACUUGAGGAUGGUAGAGGAGAGUGGAUUUUCCCGGUGAAGUGGUGAAAUGCUAUGAUAUCGGGAGGAACAGAGCCAGUGGCGAAGGCGGCUCUCUGGGCUAUUCCUGACGCUAUAUCCCGCGAAAGCUAGGGGAGAGAAUGGGAUUAGAAACCCCGGUAUUCCUAGCCGUAAACGAUGUCAACUAGGUGAGAGGGGUAUCCAACCCCCCUGUGCUGUACAUUUAUACGCGUAUUACCUGACCGCCUGGGGACUACUAAUACGCAAGGCUAAAACUCAAAUUAUAUUUGACGGGGACCCGCCAGAGAAGCAGCGGAGCGUGUGGAGAGAUUUGUAAUUCGAGGCUACGCGAAGAACCUUACCAGGGUUUGACAUGUGAGAUGGUAGAAAGGCGAUAUCCGAUCGACCCUUGAUUCAGUAUGCCGUCACAGGUGCUGCAUGGCUGUUGUCAGCUCGUGCCGUGAGGUGUUAGGUUAAGUCCUGUAACGAGCGCAACCCUCGUCGUUAGUUACAUGUGUCUACAGGAUUAUGCCGGGAUAAGCCGGAGGAAGGUGGGGAUUUUGUCCAGGAUUUACCGGCCUUUAUAUCCUGGGCUACACACACGCUACAAUGGCCGGUACAAUGGGUCGCGAAGCCGCG
This 1221-nucleotide ribosomal RNA is filed under the name uncultured bacterium. Its description in RNAcentral is "bacterial SSU rRNA". It matches the Rfam family "Bacterial small subunit ribosomal RNA", at positions 36 to 1259 of the family's 1533-position model. The record is from RNAcentral.